This 423-nucleotide ribosomal RNA is filed under the name uncultured bacterium. RNAcentral's name for it is "bacterial SSU rRNA". It matches the Rfam family "Bacterial small subunit ribosomal RNA", at positions 100 to 518 of the family's 1533-position model. The record is from RNAcentral.
CACGGGUGCGUAACGCGUAUGCAACCUGCCCCCAUCAGGGGGAAUAGCCCGCCGAAAGGCGGAUUAAUGCCCCAUAGGCCCAGGGCGCCGCAUGGCGCUAAUGGGUAAAGCUCCGGCGGAUGGGGAUGGGCAUGCGUGCCAUUAGCUAGUUGGGGCGGUAACGGCGCACCAAGGCGACGAUGGCUAGGGGGUCUGACGAGGAUGGUCCCCCACACUGGUACUGAGACACGGACCAGACUCCUACGGGAGGCAGCAGUGAGGAAUAUUGGUCAAUGGGCGGAAGCCUGAACCAGCCAUGCCGCGUGCAGGAUGACGGCCCUACGGGUUGUAAACUGCUUUUCCCCGGGAAGAAUAAGCCCCUCGUGUAGGGGUGAUGCCGGUACCGGGGGAAUAAGGAUCGGCUAACUCCGUGCCAGCAGCCGC